AAUAGGGGAUUAUCACGCUUCCUGGUUCCGGUGGCGGGAUUUGUCUUCGUUGUGCAUGAACACUUCCGGCGCACUUCCACCAUGGCUGAAACAAAGGCGAGAUGUCACUGCUCUCUGUUCCACUUUGUACAUCUAACAAACAACACCAACCCUACUUAAGUUUUCAUGGAUUCCCGACUGAAAUGAGUCUAAGGAAGAAGUGGAUUCAAGCGGUUCGCCGGGAUGAAGGGCCAAACUUUAAAAUAAAACAAGGUAGCAUGUUUGUUUGUAGCCGGCACUUUAGUGAAUCAGACUACAAACGCUACAGCUAGCAACCAACCGGGGUCACACCAAGCGACUGAAAACCGGGUCUGUACCCUCCCGUUUCCAGUGGAACAACUGGGGACUGCCAAGAAGGGGGUCUGUUUAUAAAAGAGCAUCAACUCGCUUAGGCCAUGACGUUCACCCAUCCCUUCCCCUGGAGCAACCGCUGCCCUGUGAAUAAGAGCCGAUGGAGGAGAUCUCAGCUUCGGUGGUGAUGACAGAACAUGAUUUCGGUUCUGCUCCUAAACCAGGUGCACUGGAUGCUGCUGCUGUAAACAUACAGCAAUUGGAAGAAACAGUCAAGGAGCUGAUGAGAGCUGUCACAGCUGAAAGUGGUUCAAGUGCAUUUUCACAGAUUCUGUGUCUCAGACGCGGACAUCCUUUUUUACACCAGAUUCACGUCAAGAGAAGUUUUUUGUGACUUCUGGGAGGUUAUUCAACCAUCUGCCUCCAUGUUGGUUUAUUGGUCGAAAGCUCAGAAAAAGAAACAAACAUUUGAACCCAUUUCUCCCAGUCCAACGUGUAGACUGCAACUGGUUGAGUUUUUUCUCUUCUGCUGCCGGGUUGCUGCAGGCCUGCAAGAGAAGGUGCUGGCUGACAUGUUUCAGGUCAGUGUGUCCACUGUCUACCAUGUUGUUAUACCGUGGGCCAACUACCGUUACCUGCUCCUUGGCUCCCUCCCCAUCUGGAUGAGUAAACUGCAAGUCAAGAACACCAUGCCAAGAUAAUUUGUGCAGUACAGUCCAGAUGUUCAGAGCUGACUGAACGAAGUGGACUGCUGGAUUUACUGGAGCCAGGAGAUGGCUGCAUGGCAGACAAGGGUUUCACCAUCGAGAAGCCACUAGCUGAUCGUGGGGCAACGCUGAUUAUACCACCCUUCAAGAUGACAGUUCACUGAAGAGGAUGCUCUGAAAACACAAGCAAUCGCUCGACUUCUAAUCCUCGUAGAAAGAGCAAUAGGCAGAGUCAAGGAAUACCGCAUCUGGGAACACACUGUCCUUUCACCUUGUCUGCGACAGUCAAUCAGCUGUGGACCGUCUGCUGUGUGAUGACCAACUUCCAGGGACCACUUGAUUUAAAAGGCUACAUCCCUGUUGAAUAGUGUUUCUACUCAAACAUGUACCUAUAAAUAUUAAAUAUAAUAUAUAAAUAUUAAAACGAGAGGCACUGAUUUGGAUUGGUCCCUUCAUUUUUUCCGGAGCUGUAAUUUUGUACACUGAAAACAUUGUAUAUAUUGAAUGACAUGUAAUGUAAUUGAAUGAGAAGUCUUUCAUCUAUAAUCAAUUUUAAAGUCCAGUCAGUCCAUCCUGAAAGUAUUCAAAAUUAUGUUAAUAUAUAAUGUAGUAAAUGAUGUACUCAGAAAAAGAGAAUGAAUUAAAUCCUUUUAUUCUUUCAGUUCCUUUAUUCAUUCAGUUCAUUUCACAUUCAUUUCACUUUCUGCUGAAGAUACACAUUCAUAUAUGUACCAAAGAAGUACAAGUCUACCUUAUUUUUCAUCUCUUAUCAUUUCAUCCCUCCAGACUGAGCUGACGCCAAACCGACGUUAGCAUAAGCCAACCUACCUAGCGUAAGCUAGCUAGCAGACACUCGCAUUCGUAGUCGUUAUAUUUCUCGAAAAAUAAACAAUCCCUUGUCCAGUUUGGAGCGGGCUGUUAUGGAGUGUUGUUCGGUAAGUCUGUGAACUUCAGAAAACGUGACUUUGGGUACAUUUACCAGGGAUGUCGUGAAAGUGAACUGCCGGUCCUCCAUCAUCAGUUCGCCAGAGUGAUGAGUGGUUCACCGGAUGUCACAGUGCACAAUGAACACCGAAUGCGGAAGUACUACGUAUCAGCGUGAUA
Long non-coding RNA from Gadus macrocephalus (Pacific cod), 2141 nucleotides. RefSeq lists it as uncharacterized. The transcript is spliced from 4 exons. The record is from RefSeq and is a predicted model, not a curated record. Lineage: Eukaryota; Metazoa; Chordata; Actinopteri; Gadiformes; Gadidae.